CUUGAGUUCUCGCACCGGAAGUCGUAUAUUCCCUGGUAGUUGGACUGGUCAUAGCGGAGGUACUCGCCAGGUGACGCUCGAUCCCUCGUCUUAGCAACGUUGUUGUCGCCAUACAGGAACUGAUUGUUUCUGCUGGGUCUGUUCAGGUUGGGGUCAUCCUCCCGCUGGACAACACGC
Molecule: long non-coding RNA, 177 nt
Organism: Haliotis rubra (blacklip abalone)
Lineage: Eukaryota; Metazoa; Mollusca; Gastropoda; Lepetellida; Haliotidae
Exons: 3
Source: RefSeq, a predicted model, not a curated record